This 326-nucleotide long non-coding RNA is filed under the name Elaeis guineensis (African oil palm). Its description in RNAcentral is "long non-coding RNA (EGUI_LNC079199)". The record is from RNAcentral. Lineage: Eukaryota; Viridiplantae; Streptophyta; Magnoliopsida; Arecales; Arecaceae.
AAAAAAAUAAAUUUAAAUUUUAAAAAUUUAUUUACAUCUUAUAAUUGAUAUGACAAAGUACGUAUAAUUUCUUUACCUUUCAAUAGGAUACAUUCAUCGAUAAUGUACCGGUACGAUCAAAAGAGCUUCCUUUGGAAGAUGAACAGCCAGAUGCACCAUAAUAUCAAAAAAUAAUGAUGAUUUUUUUUUAAAUUUAUAAAGAAUGGGUACGAUAUCCUUCUCUGAUCUCUCAAGUAAGUUAAUCUUCAAUUUUUGACAAUACAAUUCUCGGAAGAACACUCCCAGCUCAAUCAAUGCAGUUUGACCAUCACCAUCCAAAUAGCCAC